Molecule: long non-coding RNA, 444 nt
Filed under: Homo sapiens (human)
Lineage: Eukaryota; Metazoa; Chordata; Mammalia; Primates; Hominidae
Description: HSALNT0110688
Source: RNAcentral
GGGGAUUCAGAUGUCCUUCAUAGACAAGGAGUGAAACUCUGGGUUGUCUACUCCUGGAUCCCUUAGCUCAGGACUCCAAACACACAUUCUUCUUAGACCAUAGGGUCAUUCUCAGGGUAUGCUUCAGUUAUAGUUGUCAGGUGCCUCUGCCGUGUACCAACUAUAAUUUAUGUCUGUUUACUCUUGGAGAUACAUUUUCAGUUGGUGGGGUCAGAAGUGAGGAGACAUUAUCUCUCAGGUAGCAAACUCAACCAACCAAGAUAUGAAAAUGACUCAAUAAAGAGAAGAAAAAGUUAAAGUACUUGACAAAAUGAGAUAUGCUGCCACAAUUUUGAACUUUACUUCUUAUGAGAAGGCCCAGGGGAGAUUUAAACACAGACGUGUGCACAGUGGAAAGAUCUGUGACAACAGAGGGAGAAAUUCAGCCAUCCAAGCCAUCCACAA